UUGCUCCUGCAGCAUGUGUACUAAAAUUGAAAUAAUACAAAGAAAGUGAACAUAGCUCCUGUGCCAGGGUGAUGCACAGAUUCAUUACGAGUUCAUAUAUAUUUUU
Protopterus annectens (West African lungfish) is the source of this 106-nucleotide small nuclear RNA. NCBI's taxonomy places the organism in Eukaryota, Metazoa, Chordata, Ceratodontiformes, Protopteridae. The record is from RefSeq and is a predicted model, not a curated record.